UAUUUUUGUUGUUAAAAGUUUUUAUCUAGAUCUUGUUAUUUCUGGCUUGAUUUUCUUUUGUGGUUGGACAACUAAAGGGUAUGAACCUUCAUUUCUAGAAGCUUGUGUCUUCAGGUAUCCCUUUAGAGUAAUUUGCACAAGGAUCGUAAUGCAGAGGUUAAUCGGUCACCAAGAUGUGUGUAUCGUUGAAUGUAAUAUUUCUUCUUAAAUUGCUACUUUCAUCCUGACAUACUGUGGUGACCACAAGGUCUUACACUGCUUAUUGCCAAUUGGAUUUGCACCUCAGUGAAAUCAUUACCGCACAAUCUGUCUUCAAUGAGGGAUGCUGAGAGGCUGAAAUUGCUACAGGAAUGGAAUCAACUUUGAUAGAUGCAGCCAUAGUUCUCACUAAACAUCAGAUUAGAAGGACCCUACAUUUUUUCCCUUUUCUUUGUGCAGAUCAUGUAUUGGCCUCAAUCUUGUGAAGGCUAGACUUAAGAGACAAGUUAAGGGAUUUAACGGUCUCUUCAUGCAGACCCACGUGGACUUUUGGAGCAACCAAAUUCACUUCAGUAAUUACUUAUCCUUGUUAAAGCCUCUCCAGUGAUUUGGCAGUUCCUGGUUAGCAACUCGCAUGGUUGUAAACUUUGCAUUUCUUUGAUAUAAUUGUAGCAUUAGGUCUUAAAACCCUAACCUAGUGGUUAAUGGACCAAAAUAGAUGUUGGCGAUGUUAAAUGAUAUCCACACACAACUUCCAAGAUCCAACAAACUAGAAAAUCUUCAACUAAAUGCUCCAGUCAGACCUGAUCGAGACACUUCAAUGCACAACAGAAUGACUUGAAACUUUAUAGAGAUAAAUUAGAAUCUGAGGAACAAAUCCUGCUUAAAACUGAGGAGAUUUUGACUCUUCCAAUCAUGUUAGUUGUUUCGAGUUGAAAAGCUUGUGACAACACUUGUAAAUAUCAGCCAGGUGGAAAGUGGAUAUGUCCAUUGGUCUGAAAUUUGGGGUAUGAUCAUAUGAAACUUCAAAACACCACAUAUGAGCCCAGACAAGGUUAUAAGAGUUAGCUCAUUCUUGCCUGGAUUGCUUGAAACAGGUGAAGAAGAGGAUCUGCUGAUCCUAAGCAUUCUGGUUUCUUCAUGCCUGAAUGGGUUGGGCCUCCUUUUAACUACUGACCUGAUCGUAAUUUGCACUACCAUGAUAGUCUCUCAUCAGGGCUGGUUGUGCAUUCUGUAUAUAGUGAUGGGUAGGGUUAUAAUGACGUUUCAUGUUCCUCAACAUCUCAUGUUAGCUUCAGCAUGUUGGUCAUGUUGCUUCUUUGCUCUAAAAUGUUGACAAAGCACUGGGUUCAUCAAUACAGUCCAACAAACAAAUCUAGGAAGACAUCUUUUAUUAUCAGGUCAGGCUGCUUGUUGGUGUUCUGAAAUGCGUUGGAACAGGGGAACUUACUGCUGAUGAUGUUGAAAGAAUCCUGAAUGCAAAGACAGUGACUGCUGCGAGUCCCAUGGCCCCUGCUUGUGGUCUCUACCUUGG
This is a long non-coding RNA of Macadamia integrifolia, 1513 nucleotides long. RefSeq lists it as uncharacterized. Lineage: Eukaryota; Viridiplantae; Streptophyta; Magnoliopsida; Proteales; Proteaceae. The transcript is spliced from 3 exons. The record is from RefSeq and is a predicted model, not a curated record.